RNAcentral lists this ribosomal RNA (331 nucleotides) under uncultured eukaryote. RNAcentral's name for it is "partial 18S ribosomal RNA". It matches the Rfam family "Eukaryotic small subunit ribosomal RNA", at positions 1470 to 1795 of the family's 1831-position model. The record is from RNAcentral.
CCCUUAGAUGUUCUGGGCCGCACGCGCGCUACACUGUUCGACGCAGCGAGUCUUAACCUUGACCGAAAGGUUUGGGUAAUCUUCAGCAAAGUCGAACGUGAUGGGGAUCGAUCAUUGCAAUUAUUGAUCGUGAACGAGGAAUUCCUAGUAAGUGCAAGUCAUCAGCUUGCGCUGAUUACGUCCCUGCCCUUUGUACACACCGCCCGUCGCUACUACCGAUUGAAUGGUUUAGUGAGAUCUCUGGAUUGACGCUGGCUAGGGGGCGACCCUUGGCCAGACUGCUCGAGAAACUGCUCAAACUUGAUCAUUUAGAGGAAGUAAAAGUCGUAAC